RNAcentral lists this ribosomal RNA (227 nucleotides) under uncultured bacterium. RNAcentral describes it as "partial 16S ribosomal RNA". It matches the Rfam family "Bacterial small subunit ribosomal RNA", at positions 118 to 347 of the family's 1533-position model. The record is from RNAcentral.
UGAGUAAUCUGCCCUCCACUUUGGGAUAGCCACCGGAAACGGUGAUUAAUACCGGAUAUGACCUUGGCCCGCAUGGGUUGUGGUGGAAAGUUUUUCGGCGGGGGAUGGGCUCGCGGCCUAUCAGCUUGAUGGUGGGGUAAUGGCCUACCAUGGCUUCGACGGGUAGCCGGCCUGAGAGGGUGACCGGCCACACUGGGACUGAGACACGGCCCAGACUCCUACGGGAG